This 97-nucleotide transfer RNA is filed under the name Eggerthella sp. RNAcentral describes it as "tRNA-Sec". It matches the Rfam family "Selenocysteine transfer RNA". RNAcentral also lists the same sequence under 1 other name. Lineage: Bacteria; Bacillati; Actinomycetota; Coriobacteriia; Eggerthellales; Eggerthellaceae. The record is from RNAcentral.
GGAGACGGAUGGGUCCUGGUGGGCCCCACGGCCUUCAAAGCCGCUGAGAGGCGCGCAGAACGUCUCAGGUGUGUUCGAUUCGCACACGUCUCCGCCA